GCUGGGCGUGGUGGUGGGCGCCUGUAAUCCCAGUUACUCAGGAGGCUGAGGCAGGAGAAUCGCUUGAACCCAGGAGGCGGAGGUUGUAGUGAGCCGAGGUCACACCACCGCACUCCAUCCUGGGCAAUAGAGUAAGACUCUGUCUCCAGAACAAACAAACAAACCUUUCUUUUUUUCUUUUUUUUUUUGAGACGGAGUUUUGCUCUUGUUACCCAGGCUGGAGUGCAAUGGUGCGAUCUCAGCUCACUGCAACCUCCGCCUCCUGGGUUCAGGCAAUUAUCCUGCCUCAG
RNAcentral lists this small RNA (290 nucleotides) under Callithrix jacchus (white-tufted-ear marmoset). RNAcentral's name for it is "Metazoan signal recognition particle RNA (ENSCJAG00000087284.1)". The record is from RNAcentral. Lineage: Eukaryota; Metazoa; Chordata; Mammalia; Primates; Cebidae.